This 406-nucleotide ribosomal RNA is filed under the name uncultured bacterium. RNAcentral's name for it is "partial 16S ribosomal RNA". It matches the Rfam family "Bacterial small subunit ribosomal RNA", at positions 29 to 526 of the family's 1533-position model. The record is from RNAcentral.
AUUGAACGCUGGCGGCAGGCCUAACACAUGCAAGUCGAGCGAGCGGCGGACGGGUGGGUAAUGUCUGGGAAACUGCCUGAUGGAGGGGGAUAACUACUGGAAACGGUAGCUAAUACCGCAUACCAUCAGAUGUGCCCAGAUGGGAUUAGCUAGUGGGUGGGGUAACGGCUCACCUAGGCGACGAUCCCUAGCUGGUCUGAGAGGAUGACCAGCCACACUGGGACUGAGACACGGGACAGACUCCUACGAGAGGCAGCAGGGGGGAAGAUUGCACAAUGGGCGAAAGCCUGAGGCAGCCAUGCAGCGUGUGUGAAGAAGGCCUUCGGGUUGUAAAGCACUGUCAGCGGGGAGGCGUUACCCGCAGAAGAAGCACCGGCUAACUCCGUGCCAGCAGCCGCGGUAAUUC